CAGGUAGCUGGGGCCAGUAAUUUUCUCCAGCCUGUGCUGCAAAAUUUACCUGAGCUCAUUUGUCAAGCUUUGAAUCCUUAAAUCCAUAACUCCAAUUAAUUAGGAAUCUCUAAUUACCCCAAAAUGGCACUCUGUAUUUAAGGCUAAGGUGUGGUGAAAUCCAGAGAAAGAAAACAUUAGAGAAGCUGGAGGAUAUUUAGAGCUGGAGAUGCUGGAAAAUGUGCAUUUUCAGAGCUCAGGGUACACAUAGGUGCAAAGGAAGCCCUGUGGCUCUACAUGUCAGUGGGACUGGAAGCAGGUCCUGAGCUGGUAGAAGCCACUGUCUGAUAUUCAGACAUCCAUCCUUGGGUGUCUCACAAGUUCCCUUUUUUCAGUAAGUAAUGACACCAAACCUCCCAGCAGGAGGUUCCUGCACCAGAGAUGUAUAACAAAGCAACCUUUAGGACUUAAGCCCAACUGUAUUUUCUGUUCCAGAAGCAGACUGGAUGAGGCUCUAGCUCUAUACAACUUUAAACCAGAAACCCCAAGGGGGAUGUUAUUGAAAACAACGGUGCAGACAGGUUCUGGCCCUGCCCUUGUAAGAGGAAAAAGCCCUUUCACAGUUGAGGUCUUAUUAUAUUAAGUUAAAAAUGUAUAGCUUUUAACUAGGUUGUAACCAGUUAAUGUGAUUCAGGAAAGGCUGUAAGGUGGAUAGAAGCUUUCCCUCUUUGCCUUGCUGCACAGGUUACUGUUUUUCCAGACCUCACAUGUGAGACCAGUUAACACAGGCUCAGCAAUUAGGCUGUGAAGUCACCUGAUUAAGUGAGGGGCAACAGCAGGUUUUGGGGCUGAUUGACUUCAGUAGGGCUGCAGCUAACAGCCUGAAACGCUACUUUCCCAGUUCUGCUGGGCUCCUUCUCUUGGACAAACCAGCACCAGCUUUUCAGCAAAGCUCUGAGUGGCAGCUCUUACUGCCUGGGAACAGACUCAUGUGGCCCAGUCAGGAGGAUGACAGCUCUGCACCACCGAGGUUUUAUGAGUAAAAAUAUCAAGAACAUUAAAUCUGUGCUGAAAAUUUAUUGGAAGAAUCUAAUGGGAGAAAUGGGAUGCCAGAACUCUAACAAAGGCUUCCCCCCCAUCUGUUUAAUCAGGUGUUUGAGUGUAGAAGGUGUUUUAACACAAGUUUGUGCAGAUGGUGGGGAAAAUGCUCAGCUAUUUGACUGAAAAUCACUUCCUCUCUCAGAGAGGGAACACUUUC
This 1237-nucleotide long non-coding RNA is filed under the name Coturnix japonica (Japanese quail). Its description in RNAcentral is "lncRNA (ENSCJPG00005007241.1)". The record is from RNAcentral. Lineage: Eukaryota; Metazoa; Chordata; Aves; Galliformes; Phasianidae.